This is a long non-coding RNA of Salvelinus fontinalis (brook trout), 1479 nucleotides long. RefSeq lists it as uncharacterized. Lineage: Eukaryota; Metazoa; Chordata; Actinopteri; Salmoniformes; Salmonidae. The record is from RefSeq and is a predicted model, not a curated record. The transcript has 2 exons.
CGCAGUGUUUGCCAUGUGUGCUGGAGGUGGCGUUGGAGGCGGUGAAAAAGAUUACCUUUGCCCAAAUUUUAUGCAAAUCACCAGCUGCGACUGCUGGGCGAUGACUAAUGGUAUCGAGUGGUUUCCAUGACGAAUUUGACACUAUGCGACCCAAGGCUGGAGACUUUCUUCAGCCAAGAUGGCUGACAAAAAUACUAUGAUGGAAGCAUAUAUUCACCUGGAAUGCUUUUCCGGCCAUCUUGAAGGAGUUCCCACAUAUGCUGAGCACUUGUUGGCUGCUUUUCCUUCACUCUGCAUUCCAACUCAUCCCAAACCAUCUCAAUUGAGUUGAUGUCAGGUGAUUGUGGAGGCCAUGUCAUCUGAUGCAGCACUCCAUCACUCUCCUUUUUGGUCAAAUAGCCCUUACACAGCCUGGAGGUGUGUUGGUUCAUUAUCCUGUUGAAAAACAAAUGUUAGUUCCACUAAACACAAACCAGAUGGGAUGGCGUAUCGCUGCCGAAUGCUGUGGUAGCCAUGCUGGUUAAGUGUGCCUUGAAUUCUAAAUAAAUCACUGACAGUGUCACCUGCAAAACACCCCCACACAUCACACCUCCUCCUCCAUGCUUCACGGUGGGAACCACACAUGCAGAGAUCAUCCGUUCACCUACUGUGCAUCUCACAAAGACAUGGCGGUUGGAACCAAAAAUCUCAAAUUUGCAGAUUUCCACUGUUCUAAUGUCCAUUGCUCAUGUUUCUUAGCCCAAGCAAGUAUCUUCUUAUUAUUAGUGUCAUGUAGUAGUGGUUAAUUUGCAGCAAUUCGACCAUGAAGGCCUGAUUCACACAGUCUCCUCUAAAAAGUGAUGUUGAUGUGUCUGUUACUUGAACUCUAAAGCAUUUAUUUGGGCUGCAAUUUCUGAGGCUGGUAACUCUAAUGAACUUAUCCUCUGCAGCAAAGGUAACUCUGGGUCUUCCUUUCCUGUGGCGGUCCUCAUGAGAGACAGUUUCAUCAUAGCGAUUGAUGGUUUUUGCGACUGCACUUUAAGUUUUCUGGAUUGACUGACCUUCAUGUCUUAAAGCAAUGAUGUACUGUCAUUUCUCUUUGCUUAUUUGAGCGGUUCUUGCCAUAAAUGGACUUGGUCUUUUACCAAAUAGGGCUAUCUUCUGUAUACCACCCCUACCUUUUCACAACCCAUCUGAUUGCUCAAAAGCAUUAAGAAGGAAAGAAAUUCCCCAAAUUAACUUUUAACAAGGCAUACUUGUUAAUUUUAAUGCAUUCCAGAUGACUACCUCAUGAAGCUGGUUGAGAGAAUGCCAAGAGUGUGCAAAGCUGUCAGGCAAAGGGUGGCUACUUUGAAGAAUCGGAAAUAUAAAAUGUAUUUUGAUUUGUUUAACAUUUUUUUGGUUACUACAUGAUUCCAUAUGUGUUAUUUCAUAGUUUAUGUUUUCACUAUUAUUCUACAAUGUAGAAAAUAGUAAAAAUAAAGAAAAACCCUUGCAUGA